UGGGGAAUAUUGGACAAUGGGGGCAACCCUGAUCCAGCAAUGCCGCGUGUGUGAAGAAGGUCUUCGGAUUGUAAAGCACUUUCGACGGGGACGAUGAUGACGGUACCCGUAGAAGAAGCCCCGGCUAACUUCGUGCCAGCAGCCGCGGUAAUACGAAGGGGGCUAGCGUUGCUCGGAAUGACUGGGCGUAAAGGGCGUGUAGGCGGUUUACACAGUCAGAUGUGAAAUCCCCGGGCUUAACCUGGGAGCUGCAUUUGAUACGUGUAGACUAGAGUGUGAGAGAGGGUUGUGGAAUUCCCAGUGUAGAGGUGAAAUUCGUAGAUAUUGGGAAGAACACCGGUGGCGAAGGCGGCAACCUGGCUCAUGACUGACGCUGAGGCGCGAAAAGCGUGGGGAGCAAACAGGAUUAGAUACCCUGGUAGUCCACGCCUGUAAAACGAUGUGUGCUAGAUGUUGGGUAACUUUGUUAUUCAGUGUCGCAGUUAACGCGUUAAAGCACA
Molecule: ribosomal RNA, 500 nt
Filed under: uncultured bacterium
Lineage: Bacteria
Description: partial 16S ribosomal RNA
Rfam family: Bacterial small subunit ribosomal RNA
Source: RNAcentral